UAACCACAGAUCUAUAGGUUCGUUAUCUCCGUCGAAACCAUGUCUAACCCGACGGAUUUCCACUACCCGGCCAGAAUAUCCACCACGGGUAACACCAGUGUAUUCUUGGACGUAGACGAUUUCCUAUAACCCCUAAGCAUCUCGAUCCAAAAUCCAUUUAUCAGAAAAGCAAACGAGCUCUUGAGAAUAAGGGUUACCAUAGUCAUUUGUCACUACGGCUGUACGGGGAUAAUAGUAUUCUCUCUGGGAAAGAUAUGAUGGAUAAAUAUGCUGAAGCUGGAAUCAAAAUCUGACUCGUAUCCGAAGUUGAAGGAGUUACGUAUACGAGAGGUGAUUUGAUGCUAUUGGACAGUUAUCUAUGGGCAUUGAACAAUCCUGGAGAAUCGAAUUUGAUGCUAUACUCUCAAAAGACAUCAAACAAGACACAUGGGGGAUGAGGUUACUUACAUUUUUGCAUAGGAAUGAUUGCUAUAUUCUCUUAGGGGAGCCUUUAUCAGAGUUUACAGUUCCUUCUGAUAGUGCUGAAUGGAUUUGGAAAAGCCUAUCAGAUUGAGGAAACCCUAGCUUACCCAAAGCUAAUAGCAUCUUUGUAAUCUACUUAAGUGGAAGUAAGCAAAUGUUAAGAUGCUUUAGUAAAAUUAUAUAGACAACGGUUGUACUCCUGAAGAUUUACUUGAACAAAAUUGA
Brassica oleracea var. oleracea is the source of this 687-nucleotide long non-coding RNA. RefSeq lists it as uncharacterized. Lineage: Eukaryota; Viridiplantae; Streptophyta; Magnoliopsida; Brassicales; Brassicaceae. The record is from RefSeq and is a predicted model, not a curated record. The transcript has 3 exons.